This 1212-nucleotide long non-coding RNA is filed under the name Pan troglodytes (chimpanzee). RNAcentral describes it as "long non-coding RNA NONPTRT009501". The record is from RNAcentral. Lineage: Eukaryota; Metazoa; Chordata; Mammalia; Primates; Hominidae.
GGGGUGUGUGUGUGUGGUACAUCUAUAGUGUAUGGUGUGUGUGUGAUGUGUGUGGUGUGUGUCCGUGGUGUGUGUGCGUGGGGGUGUGUAAGCCACUGUCUCGGAGAUCAUUUUUCUCGAAUAUCUCUACAGAUCGAGACCUGUCGGGAGGUUUUCCCGGCCUCUGCGAUGGCUCCUCCGCGGCUCCCCGGCAUUGUUUCCGCGGCCCAGCUUAAGCCUGUCCUCAGCGAUUUGCCGCCCCACUGCACCCGAGCUCAAUGCCAGCCCCUCACACAAAGGCCACAUUCACUUCAUCUACAGGAUUCCCGUAACGCCAGCAGUCUGCCCCACAAAGGCUGGCGCUGCAAUUUUCCACUCCAGGGCCCCGCGGGGCUCGCACACAAAUCCGCCUGCGUAGGGCGGACGGGGCAUUGUUGCUGCUCAGCGGGGAAUGUGGCUGAGCUAAGCCCUCGCCCUGCUUCUCCUCGAGGUCAGCAGGUUACACAGGAUGGUCCCCUGCAGACCCCCGAGCUGCCCUCAGAGUGGAACGUGGGGCCGGUCAUGUCCCGCCAGCCCUUUCCAGAACAAAGCCAGCAGGCAGAGUGUGCCAUAGACCCCCGAGGCCCUCCGAGGCUGGAGUUAAGUUGGGGAGAGGAUCCUCUUUCGGGGGUUUAGAGAUAAUUCUGUCCCACAGCACACACUGGGCGCUCACCACUGCCAGGACGUGCAGGUCAUGGGUGACGGGGACAGAGCCAGUGACGUCCCGCCCUCCCCCUGCGGGCCAGCACCUGGUGCGCCCAUCACGGGGUAUUACUUUUACGGUGGCGGCAAAUGCUACUUCAUUGAGUUUAUUUUUAUCAUGAAAAUUUUUACACAGUCUCAAAAGUAGAGACCAUGGAACAAUGAGCCCUUCACAUACUCCUCAGCCAGAUCCAACAAUCAGGAGGAUUUUGCGCUGCUUCCCGCUUCUCUUGGUUUUUUUUCUUUACUGGAGUAUUUUAAAGCAAAGCACAGACGCCACGUCAUUUCACCCCCGCGCACUUCAGGUAUCACACUCACGGGCAUGCAGCGUCCCCCGGGUGCUCGGAUUCCUUGGUGAUCUCCUCCGGCCUCACGAGCGUGGUAGGCAUUUUGUUUUUUUUCUCAUCCCUCUUCUUGUUUAUUUGUCUCCACCUUUUUCUUCAUUAAUUGGGGCAGUUUAUCAAUUUUAUUAGAUUUUGGCUUCGUUGAUCC